GAUGAACGCUGGCGGCGUGCCUAAUACAUGCAAGUCGAGCGAACAGACGAGGAGCUUGCUCCUCUGACGUUAGCGGCGGACGGGUGAGUAACACGUGGAUAACCUACCUAUAAGACUGGGAUAACUUCGGGAAACCGGAGCUAAUCCCGGAUAAUAUAUUGAACCGCAUGGUUCAAUAGUGAAAGACGGUUUUGCUGUCACUUAUAGAUGGAUCCGCGCCGCAUUAGCUAGUUGGUAAGGUAACGGCUUACCAAGGCAACGAUGCGUAGCCGACGGGAUAGGGUGGUAGGCCACACUGGAAGUGAAACACGGUCCAUAGUCCUACGGGAGGGAGCAGUAGGGAAUCGGACGCAAUGGGCGAAAGCAUGACGGAGCAACGCCGCGUGAGUGAUGAAGGUCUUCGGAUCGUAAAACUGUGUUAUUAGUGAAGAACAAAUGUGUAAGUAACUAUGCACGUAUUGACGGUACCUAAUCAGAAAGCCACGGCUAACUACGUG
RNAcentral lists this ribosomal RNA (497 nucleotides) under uncultured bacterium. Its description in RNAcentral is "partial 16S ribosomal RNA". It matches the Rfam family "Bacterial small subunit ribosomal RNA", at positions 28 to 507 of the family's 1533-position model. The record is from RNAcentral.